GCUCAGAUUCAACGCUGGCGGCAGGCUAACACAUGCAAGUCGAGCGAACCCUUCGGGUUAGCGCGGACGGGUGAGUAACGCGUGGGAACGUGCCCUUCUCUGCGGAAUAGGCUCGGGAAACUGGGUUUAAUACCGCAUACGCCCUUCGGGGAAAGAUUUAUCGAGAAGGAUCGGCCCGCGUCUGAUUAGGUAGUUGGUGGGGUAAUGGCCUACCAAGCCUACGAUCAGUAGCUGGUUUGAGAGGAUGAUCAGCCACACUGGGACUGAGACACGGCCCAGAGUCCUACGGGACGCAGCAGUGAGGAAUCUUGGACAAUGGGGAAACCCUGAUCCAGCCAUGCCGCGUGGCAGUGAAGGCCUUAGGGUUGUAAAGCUCUUUCAGUCGUGAAGAUAGUGACGCUAGCACAGAAGAAGCCCCGGCUAACUCUCCGUGCCAGCAGCCGCGGUAAUACGGAGGGGGUCAGCUUGUUCGGAAUUAUCGGGCGUAAAGCUGACGCGCUAGGCACUAUAAUCGGGGGUGAAAUCCCGGUUCUCAACCCCGGAACUGCCUUCGAUACUGGUAGUCUAGAGUUCGAGAGAGGUGAGUGGAAUUCCGAGUGUAGAGGUGAAAUCUGUAGAUAUUCGGAGGAACACCAGUGGCGAAGGCGCUCUACUGCCUCGAUACUGUACGCGAGGUGCGAACAGUGGGGAGCAAACAGGAUUAGAUACCUGGUAGUCCACGCCGUAAACGAUGAAUGCCAGUCGUCGUCAAGCAUGCUUGUCGGUGACACACCUAACGGAUUAACGAUUCCGCCUGGGGAGUACGGCCGCAAGGUUAAAACUCAAAGGAAUUGACGGGGGCGCACAAGCGGUGGAGCAUGUGGUUUAAUUCGAAGCAACGCGCAGAACCUUACCAACCCUUACAUCCUGAUCGCGGUUUUCCGGAGAAUUCCUUCAGUUCGGCUGGAUCAGUGGCAGGUGCUGCAUGGCUGUCGUCAGCUCGUGUUGUGAAAUGU
Molecule: ribosomal RNA, 995 nt
Filed under: Rhodovulum sp. AR2111
Lineage: Bacteria; Pseudomonadati; Pseudomonadota; Alphaproteobacteria; Rhodobacterales; Paracoccaceae
Description: bacterial SSU rRNA
Rfam family: Bacterial small subunit ribosomal RNA
Source: RNAcentral